RNAcentral lists this ribosomal RNA (497 nucleotides) under uncultured bacterium. Its description in RNAcentral is "partial 16S ribosomal RNA". It matches the Rfam family "Bacterial small subunit ribosomal RNA", at positions 28 to 507 of the family's 1533-position model. The record is from RNAcentral.
GAUGAACGCUGGCGGCGUGCCUAAUACAUGCAAGUCGAGCGAACAGACGAGGAGCUUGCUCCUCUGACGUUAGCGGCGGACGGGUGAGUAACACGUGGAUAACCUACCUAUAAGACUGGGAUAACUUCGGGAAACCGGAGCUAAUACCGGAUAACAUGUUGAACCGCAUGGUUCAACAGUGAAAGACGGUCUUGCUGUCACUUAUAGAUGGAUCCGCGCCGCAUUAGCUAGUUGGUAAGGUAACGGCUUACCAAGGGAACGAUGCGUAGCCGACCUGAGAGGGUGAUCGGCCACACUGGAACUGAGACACGGUCCAGACUCCUACGGGAGGCAGCAGUAGGGAAUCUUCCGCAAUGGGCGAAAGCCUGACGGAGCAACGCCGCGUGAGUGAAGAAGGUCUUCGGAUCGUAAAACUCUGUUAUUAGGGAAGAACAAAUGUGUAAGUAACUAUGCACGUCUUGACGGUACCUAAUCAGAAAGCCACGGCUAACUACGUG